This is a long non-coding RNA of Oreochromis niloticus (Nile tilapia), 2922 nucleotides long. RefSeq lists it as uncharacterized. The record is from RefSeq and is a predicted model, not a curated record. Lineage: Eukaryota; Metazoa; Chordata; Actinopteri; Cichliformes; Cichlidae. The transcript is spliced from 2 exons.
AUAUAUAUAUACACAUAAAUAAAUAAAAAAUAUAUUUGCCUGUCAAAGAGGCAUCCACAGUGGCAGAUUUUUAUUAUGGUUUUGUUGCUUUCCCAAUAUCCAAAUGGCAGCUCCUGCACUUCUGUUCAACUUUGUCUUACAGAUGUGAGAAAGAUGUCCAAUUUAAGCAGAUGGAUGUCUCAUGCUGAGAUAGCAAGGCAUAAAAGCCUGCAAGCAUUUGCAUAAUCCUUGGACUAAGCCUUAAGACAGCACUGGUGAAAGCAGGACGAGAUUGUGAGGUAUGAAGGAAUAUGUACAGUUUGCAAUGCGAAGUUUAGUUUUUAUCAACUAUCCAUUAUAAUCCAACGCAAGGUAUUAGUUUCUAACUUUGGACUGAGAUUUACUGAUUCUUCUUCUUAUGUGACAGUACUGUUGUUGUUCCUUGAUAUCCUCACUGUACUGAUCAUUUUGGAAUAGCAGCAAACUUCUCUCAGAGGACUUGAUAUUGGAUUUGGGAUGAAAGAUACUACUCCGUUUGUGAAACCUUGACUUCCCCUUCCUCCUAAUUGGAUUUGUUUGAAAUUGCGUACUGUGAUGUUUUGUUUAGGUUAACCCCCCCUCUUUUCUGAUUUCAUAUAGCCUACUUUUUCUAAUCAUGAAUGUAUGAUGUGUGGAUUUUUAUAUAGCAUACUAAUUUAGGUGUCAAACAGAAUCUGUAAUUUUGUCAAAAAGAUCAGCUAUAUUUGUAAGCUGUAAGAUGUAAAAUGAGAAAAUAUAGUUAUCAAAACAGAAUGUGUUGGUUUACUAUAGAGUGUGUGUGUGUGUGUGUGUGUGUAUAUAAUAUAUAUAUACACACACACACACACUACACUGAAAAAGAGAGAUUAUCUCAAGCUGUUUGCCAAAUAAAAAGUAGUAGUGAUGUAAAUAAGUGUGUGCUUGUGCUCACUGCGAAUUGGUGAUCAGAUUGUCGUAAUGUUUGAUAUUUAUAUUAGUGCCCUUUAGACAAAGGUUCCUUCUAAUGUUAUUGACCACCUUGACCAUUUAUCUACGGCCACUACCAGGACAAAACGUUCCCCUCAGCAGCCUUGUUCAUUUAGAGGAUAUUACAAAAGGUCAAGACAUUAUGUGCCACAUGGUUACAUAAAGAAUGCAGUGUAUUUUCAGUAUGCUAAUCUGCUGUGGAAGUAAGGAGGUAAUCAACUCAAAAUAACUUCUGGGUAGUGCAAGUAAUGCAGCUGUAGGACCGUGUGUGAAAUACAGCUCCAUACUGCAAACAUGCAUGUAUUUCUACUUAUGGUUCUCAUUUUUUGUCACAAUCUUUUGUUUUAAUAAAAAUAAAAACCCACUCCUACAUAUAUAAAUUACAGAGAGAGAUUUUUAUGUAUGUUAACACGUUUCCAAAAAUAUUAAGUUAGCUGUUAUUUCACCUAUAAAUUUCCUGCUCUGUUGGGAAUUAAUAGCCAUUGUUGAUGCUUGAAGUAUCAGCCUUCCAUUGAAACAAACCUCAGUGUAAACGCUAUUAUCAAUGUUACUGACAUUCAUCCUCACAUGGGGAUAAAACCCUUCAACCGCUCUUUAACCAGUAGAUGUAUUUACAGCGCCGCUUUCAGGACAGUUUUUAUAUUCCCAACUUCACCGAAAAGGGAUCCUGUGUGCAUUGGUACCAUAAUUACUGAAUGAGUAAUUACGUGUUUUUAAUAAAUAUCUGUAUAUCUCGAACUGAUGUAUAGGCAGAAAAAAAUAUAAUUUUUUAGAGUAUAACAUCGUCUCUGUGUUGUCGCUGCUGGACUGCACCUGCGCAGAUGACCGCAGAUCUCCAAGUCAUAAGAAACCUGGCAGCGCAGUUGAUCAGCUCUGUGGGGUUAUUAGAGGCACGCGGACAGAGUCGCGUUAAAUAAGUUAAGUCCCUCUGCCGCUCUGGGCUGCAUGGUGCGGAGCUCUGACUGUAUAAAAGAUAGACGACACGACAGCACUUUCUCCCAUGGUGCAAAAAUGAAGCCAAAAUAUCCCCCUUGUGGGAGCUGCCAUAUUGCGCUUUUGGAGCCGAAGCCUGCGCAGGAGUGACUUGAGGUGGAGCGACUGCGUCACUUUCCCACCCACACGCCCGCUGGAUGUGACCGCGAACACGCCCCCCUUACACUAGUUACGUAGCCUGGCUGCUCCAUCAUUAAUCUGAUUUUACUCCUCGCCAAAUCCCACAUCCAUAAAUAGUCCACAUAAUUAUUACCAGCUACACCCACCAUGGGAGAAACUGGUGAGGGAGACCAUCAGGACCAAGCUGGAUUUCCUGGGUCCAGAGGUUUGUAGAAAUCCAGAUGUUCUGUUGACCCACUGAGAGAGGCAUCAUUUCAGAAACAUCAGAAAAACUGAAGUUCAUCGCAGGGAUCAAGGAGGACCUCAUGAUCUUCACCACCAGCUCCCUUACAGGGAAAUCUUCAGAACCCCACUGUAGGCCCACUCCAGAAGAGACUUCUGGUUUGUCUAAUGUUAUAAAUACUUGGAUAAUCCUCAGCAGCUCUGGACUUUUACAUAAAGAUAUUAUAUUAAAAAAUAUAUUAUCCUCUCUGCUCACUGGUAUGAAUGACUGAAUUACUUUGUAGUAAAUAACACACUAUUGGGAAGAAAAAAAAAAACUGAAAGAAUUCCAGAUCACCAGUUUUUAGUUAACCUUCAUCAGGUUUUAUUUAAGUGUGUCAGGGAAAAUCUCAUGUGCUCUUCAUGUGGCUGAGUGCAUUCAGUGUUUAAAACAGAACCUCUACAGGUCUCAGAUAGCAGCUUUCUGAAACACAAGACUGCUGAUAUAUAGUGACAGUGACAGGGGUGAUUAAUCCUUUUGACUUUAUCAAUAAAACAGCUGCAGCUUUCAUCAGUUAAUUUUGGAGUUAACGUGAACAUGUUGAAUGAUCUGUCUGCUUUCACUGGGUGGUGCUGAGGUCUGAA